AUGGCUUCGAAACGCCUUUCAGAAGCAGGAUAUGAACACUAUGAGAUCAGUAGCUACUGCAAUUAUGUUUACGAGUGCAACCACAACACAACGUAUUGGGCAAACCGGCCAUUCUACGUGUUUGGUCUUGGAUCAGCAAGCUACAUCAACGGUGUCAGGUUCUCUAGGCCCAGAAGAAUGAAGGAGUACGUGCCAUAG
Molecule: ribosomal RNA, 198 nt
Filed under: Triticum aestivum (bread wheat)
Lineage: Eukaryota; Viridiplantae; Streptophyta; Magnoliopsida; Poales; Poaceae
Description: partial small subunit ribosomal RNA
Source: RNAcentral